This 479-nucleotide ribosomal RNA is filed under the name uncultured bacterium. Its description in RNAcentral is "partial 16S ribosomal RNA". It matches the Rfam family "Bacterial small subunit ribosomal RNA", at positions 28 to 507 of the family's 1533-position model. The record is from RNAcentral.
GAUGAACGCUAGCGGGAGGCCUAACACAUGCAAGCCGAGCGGUAUUUGUCCUUCGGGACAGAGAGAGCGGCGUACGGGUGCGGAACACGUGUGCAACCUGCCUUUAUCUGGGGGAUAGCCUUUCGAAAGGAAGAUUAAUACCCCAUAAUAUAUCGAAUGGCAUCAUUCGAUAUUGAAAACUCCGGUGGAUAGAGAUGGGCACGCGCAAGAUUAGAUAGUUGGUGAGGUAACGGCUCACCAAGUCAGUGAUCUUUAGGGGGCCUGAGAGGGUGAUCCCCCACACUGGUACUGAGACACGGACCAGACUCCUACGGGAGGCAGCAGUGAGGAAUAUUGGACAAUGGGUGAGAGCCUGAUCCAGCCAUCCCGCGUGAAGGACUAAGGCCCUAUGGGUUGUAAACUUCUUUUAUACUGGGAUAAUCCUACUUACGUGUAAGUAGCUGAAGGUACAGUAUGAAUAAGCACCGGCUAACUCCGUG